Athalia rosae (coleseed sawfly) is the source of this 617-nucleotide long non-coding RNA. RefSeq lists it as uncharacterized. The transcript has 3 exons. Lineage: Eukaryota; Metazoa; Arthropoda; Insecta; Hymenoptera; Athaliidae. The record is from RefSeq and is a predicted model, not a curated record.
UUUAUGGGACUUGUAAAAUUAAUUAAAUCAGUUGUAGAUCCUCGACUUGGACCUCCAGAUGUAGACGAAUUUCUUCUGUAUGGAACCGGAGGUGGAGGCGCAAUUAUAGCCAUAGUUCUUGGUUGACCGGUAUUGAAUGAUCCUGGCCUAGGGCGACUUCUCAAGAGAAGCCUAAAGAUUUCCAGCACAUUUUUCAGCUUGCUAUGAAUUAUAAAUACUGUUAUAUUACUUUAAACUAUGCUGAGUGAAAAAGUUUUACUUUGUCAUGUAAACGUAGAGAUGAAGGAUCUUGCUAGUUCAAGUAUAAAGAACGAGGAUGAAUAAGGAAAAAGGUAGUAGGUAUAAGGAAGGUUGAUAUUUGUGAAAGUAUUUUUGAGAAUUUUUAUUAACUCUAAAAAUACACGUAUUUCUGAACGCACAACCAUUUACAAAAUUGCAGGAGGAGUGGUAUUAUGAAAUGUAAAAAAUAAAAUAAGGAGGAUAAGGAGAAAAGUCACAAAUGAUGAGAAUAAGCCGAAGAAAGUUGACGUUGUUAUCUAACCUGGAAAAAUGGAAAGAUAAAAAUAUUCUUAACUCAUCAAGGAUUAAAAAAUUUGAUUCGUGGUUUAUAAUCAACA